Molecule: ribosomal RNA, 492 nt
Filed under: uncultured bacterium
Lineage: Bacteria
Description: partial 16S ribosomal RNA
Rfam family: Bacterial small subunit ribosomal RNA
Source: RNAcentral
AUUGAACGCUGGCGGCAUGCUUUACACAUGCAAGUCGAACGGUAACAGGCCUUCGGGUGCUGACGAGUGGCGAACGGGUGAGUAAUGCAUCGGAACGUGCCCAGAGGUGGGGGAUAACGCAGCGAAAGCUCUGCUAAUACGCCAUGUGAUCUGAGGAUGAAAGCGGGGGACUUGCUAGCAAUGUUUGGCCUCGCGCCUUUGGAGCGGCCGAUGUUGGAUUAGGUAGUUGGUGGGGUAAAGUCCUACCAAGCCGACGAUCUGUAGCUGGUCUGAGAGGACGACCAGCCACACUGGGACUGAGACACGGCCCAGACUCCUACGGGAGGCAGCAGUGGGGAAUUUUGGACAAUGGGCGCAAGCCUGAUCCAGCAAUGCCGCGUGCGGGAAGAAGGCCUUCGGGUUGUAAACCGCUUUUGUACGGAACGAAAAGGCUCUGGCUAAUACCUGGUGCUGAUGACGGUACCGUAAGAAUAAGCACCGGCUAACUACGUG